Long non-coding RNA from Cucumis melo (muskmelon), 1620 nucleotides. RefSeq lists it as uncharacterized. The transcript is spliced from 2 exons. Lineage: Eukaryota; Viridiplantae; Streptophyta; Magnoliopsida; Cucurbitales; Cucurbitaceae. The record is from RefSeq and is a predicted model, not a curated record.
UAUGUAAUAUUCUUUUAUUUUUUUACCUUUUAUAUCGUGUCUUAUGUACAAAUAUUAACCAUGUUUUUUGUCUUAUGUAGAACAUCGCGAUUAACCAUGUUUUUUUUAAAUAUUGUUCGGUUUAUAAUGUGUAUAUACAAAUAAAUGUAAUGAUCAACGUUGGAAGUGUUUCGAGGUGGGCAUGAUAGAAGUUCAUUGUAUUUGACCUUUACGUACAUCGCACUUAUUUCAGCGUGUUUAUUUGAACCUGCAGAAUUGCCUUGGCGCGUUAGACGAAACGUACAUAAAGGUCAACGUCCCCGCAGAAGAUCGGCCUACAUUUAGAACACGUAAGGGGGGAAUUGCCACAAACGUUCUGGGGGUGUGUGACACGAAAGGGGAUUUCGUUUAUGUCCUCGCCGGUUGGGAAGGAUCUGCAGCAGACUCGUGGAUCCUACGUGAUGCCCUUUCACGAGAAAAUGGGCUACAAGUGCCAAAGGUAUGUCAACCUCAAAUCGUGUCCCGAGACAUGUCUGGACGAAGGAGGAGGGCACUCUUGUGGAAUUUUUAAUGGAGUUGGUGUCAAUGAGGGGAUGGAAAUCAGAUAAUGGUACGUUCCGCCCAGGUUACCUUGCGCAGUUGGUACGCAUGAUGGUGGAGAAACUAUCUGGUUGAGCAACGACUGUAAUUGAUUGUAGAAUUAAGACACUGAAGCGAACAUUCCAGGCCAUUGUCGAAAUGCGGGGGCGAACGAGCAGUGGCUUUGGAUGGAACGAUGAAGAGAAAUGUAUCAUUGCAGAGAAAGAAUUAUUUGAUAAUUGGGUUAAGUUAAAUAUAAUAAUAUAAACGUCAUACAACGUUCACAAUGUACAUUUACUUAAUAAUUUUUCAAUCAGUAAUUAUACGUGAUAUUUUUUUCCCCGCAGUCGCAUCCUGCAGCGAAGGGACUCCUGAACAGACCAUCCCGUAUUACGACGAACUUACAUAUGUCUUCGGUCGCGAUAGGGCGACGGGUCGGUUCGCCUAGACAUUCGCCGACGUGGGGUCUAACGAGCCUGGCAGAUAUGACAGAUUUGAUAUGAGGGAUGAAAACAAGGAGUUCCCGCCCGUGUACAGCCAGGGGAUUGACCUCUCGCAGGACGAUGUACGUGCAUCUCGACCUUCUCGCGCUUCAGAGGGUAGGACCGGAUCGAGUGGAUCCAAGAGGAAGAGAGGAAGUCAGCGAGACUUGGAAGUUGAAGCCAUACAUCUGGCGCUCGACCAAACAAACAAGCAACUCAGGAUGAUUGCAGAGUGGCCUGCACGCACCCUUGCAAAUGACAACCAUGUGCGCAUGGAAUUCUUCCGCAUAUUGCGUGAGAUGCCAGAACUUACGAAUUUGGAUAAGGCGCUAUUGCAAAGGCAUCUUCUGUCUCGUAUGGACGACCUUCGGGGUUUCGUACUCAUGUCUAAGGAUGAGAGGGAGUGCUUUUGUAGAGUUCUCCUACGAGACAUCACGAGAUAGUUUAUGUUUCUACGGAUCUGGGUUGCUUAUUAUUUCCUUAUCUUUUUUUUUUUUUGUAUGAUGUUGACUGUUUAUGCAUUUCCUAUUGUAAAGAACUAUUUUUUUCCUUCGUAAUGUUUAUUUAAAAUUAAGGAAAA